UCUUCUUGAUGCUUUACGAAUCACCAUUUCAAUGAUGUAUGUAUGCAAGUGCAACACUAUCUCAUUUCUCUCUGAACCGUUGGUUGCAGGAUUUGACUAUUGUUUUAUCAACACUUCUACCUGUGAUAUCUAUGAAUAAUGAUGGCAAAGAUCAAUCAGAUUUCUCUGUGGGACUAAAGUAUGGCAGAAACAUUGCUGGAAGGAGUUGUUAAGAGACAAGUAUAAGAGCAUAAAGUUGAGGAGUUUAAUGCCAUGGGAAAGGGAAGCGUAACCAGAAGCUGCUAAGCAUUAAUAUUGGAAGAUGUUAGCUUUGAUGAUAAUUAUGAAGCAGAGCUUACUGAUGGGGAUUCAAAUUCCAUUGGAACUGGAACUACAACUCC
Long non-coding RNA from Vigna angularis (adzuki bean), 380 nucleotides. RefSeq lists it as uncharacterized. Lineage: Eukaryota; Viridiplantae; Streptophyta; Magnoliopsida; Fabales; Fabaceae. The transcript has 3 exons. The record is from RefSeq and is a predicted model, not a curated record.